GGACAUAUGAUACAUGAUACAGAAAAUCACCUGAGCAGGUGUUUUCCAUCCGGCUGGAGCCGCUAGUUGCCGAAUUCAAGGAGCCUGGUUCAUUACUACCUGUGUCAUUUGCCUGACCUUGCCCCGAGACCGCAGUGGGAGCAUAACAAGACCACCAAAGGCUGAGAAUCAACCUCUUCCCUGGUCUUCAUGGUUAAACAUGCCAAACUGAACACGGCUGGAGUCCUUGCUGAGCUGCAUGUUUUGGGUUUCCUACCUGCUGAGGGGAGGUAUGUGUCCUCAUUUACCAGGCUGGGUGUGAAGUCUGCAAUUCUCUUCAAGGCAUUCUGCCUCUUUCCCUCUUUAUCCUCUGCUCCUCCGGAGUUUCUGCAUCUCUCUUCAUGCAUCCCAUUCCCAGAAACAGCUUCCUCAUACGUCCUCAUCCGCAUCAUUCUUGGAAACAAUACAUUGACCAAGCAGUCAUUCCUGGACAGCCCGAAACUUCUGUGGUGCUUAUGCAGGGAAAGAAAAGUGGAAAGUCACAAAUCCAACAGCCAGAGCUCUUUUAGAGAAUAAAUGCCUAAAGCUCACCUCACCACCCAAUGAGUUUUUGUUUUGUUUCCACAAGGAGCGCUGGGGGUAGUGGGUUUUAAUGGGUGUUUAAAGGCUAAAUCGGGGGGGCAACAGCACACAGCAUCUGAGCACAUGGCGUACUGCUUUCAGGGCUCCACACUUGCAGGCUAAUCAAUGCAAGUCCAGUUCCCACUGGGAGCAAACAUCUACCCAGCAGGACUGCUGUACUGGCUCCUGAAACAGAAGCCAGGCUACAAGCAAAUCUGCUGCCAACACAGAGAGCAUAAUUGGAAACCCUCGGCCUAGCUGCUCGCUCGUUAAUAAGAACAGAUUCAUAAUGUACCUGGCUCCUUCCACCUGCUCCUAGUCUAUAAUUAGCAACUUGUGCGUAGGUGGCAGCACUGGUAAAUUACCUCCAGUCUUCAGUGACAGUAACUCCUGUCUCUGAGAAGGAUGUGACAAAGGCACAAGGAAUAGGGAUAAAUGGCUACAAUAAUGCAGAAAGCCAUUAGCACUAAACAGCAACAAUAACCCUUUGCGUGUCAGCACCAGCUCUGCCUUCGUUUGUAUGAGUCUCCAUUGC
Molecule: long non-coding RNA, 1135 nt
Filed under: Calidris pugnax (ruff)
Lineage: Eukaryota; Metazoa; Chordata; Aves; Charadriiformes; Scolopacidae
Description: lncRNA (ENSCPUG00000009664.1)
Source: RNAcentral